UAUUAACUACAAAGUGCGUUAGGGAUUGCAGCGACAUCCUUUUGCUUUUUUCGCAAAAGAUAUAGCGGAAAGCCCGACCCUUG
RNAcentral lists this small RNA (83 nucleotides) under Algibacter pectinivorans. Its description in RNAcentral is "Pontirhabdus pectinovorans Flavo-1 RNA". It matches the Rfam family "Flavo-1 RNA". The record is from Rfam by way of RNAcentral. Lineage: Bacteria; Pseudomonadati; Bacteroidota; Flavobacteriia; Flavobacteriales; Flavobacteriaceae.